CCAACGGCCCUCCUUAGGGCCACCAAAAUGCUUUCAGACAAAUGCUAU
This is a non-coding RNA of Haemonchus contortus (barber pole worm), 48 nucleotides long. The record is from Rfam. Lineage: Eukaryota; Metazoa; Nematoda; Chromadorea; Rhabditida; Trichostrongylidae.